AGGAAAGAGAGAGGGAGGCCUAACACAUGCAAGCCGAGCGGUAGAGUCUCUUCGGAGACUUGAGAGCGGCGCACGGGUGCGGAACACGUGUGCAACCUGCCUUUAUCUGGGGGAUAGCCUUUCGAAGGGAAGAUUAAUACCCCAUAAUAUACUGGAUGGCAUCAUCUGGUAUUGAAAACUCCGGUGGAUAGAGAUGGGCACGCGCAAGAUUAGAUAGUUGGUGAGGUAACGGCUCACCAAGUCAGCGAUCUUUAGGGGGCCUGAGAGGGUGAUCCCCCACACUGGUACUGAGACACGGACCAGACUCCUACGGGAGGCAGCAGUGAGGAAUAUUGGACAAUGGGUGAGAGCCUGAUCCAGCCAUCCCGCGUGAAGGACGACGACCCUAUGGGUUGUAAACUUCUUUUGUAUAGGGAUAAACCUAGAUACGUGUAUCUAGCUGAAGGUACUAUACGAAUAAGCACCGGCUAACUCCGUG
RNAcentral lists this ribosomal RNA (478 nucleotides) under uncultured bacterium. Its description in RNAcentral is "partial 16S ribosomal RNA". It matches the Rfam family "Bacterial small subunit ribosomal RNA", at positions 39 to 507 of the family's 1533-position model. The record is from RNAcentral.